Molecule: long non-coding RNA, 342 nt
Organism: Saccostrea echinata
Lineage: Eukaryota; Metazoa; Mollusca; Bivalvia; Ostreida; Ostreidae
Exons: 4
Source: RefSeq, a predicted model, not a curated record
GCAGAACGAGUUUUAGGCUGAACUAGAACCCAUGGUGAGGAGUCGUCAUCUCCCAUUCACCUGCAGCCCUCACUUGAGGAUGCGAAUUCAGAGCAGCAGGACCCAUCAGGAGAAGCACCACAAACACUUGGAUGAGGGAAGACGUAGGAGGAGUUUGUCCAGCAAGAAGAGGAGUUUAUAGCCCAGCUAUAAAUAGCUACCUACCAAAACCAAAGAGGAGUGUGGGGAUCAGGGAUCCACAGUAGCCAGCCAUUGAAGGAGGUAAAGCAGUUCUGUGUCUCUGAAUGAAGAAGAGACCAUCAUCUUCUAGGAAGUGUAUCGAGAAAAGUGGUCAACUGCAUC